GUGCUCGUUUCGGCAGCACAUAUACUAAAAUUGGAACAAUACAGAGAAGAUUACCAUGGCCCCUAUGCAAGGAUGACACGCAAAUUUGUGAAGCGUUCCAUAUUAAA
Molecule: small nuclear RNA, 107 nt
Organism: Mirounga angustirostris (Northern elephant seal)
Lineage: Eukaryota; Metazoa; Chordata; Mammalia; Carnivora; Phocidae
Source: RefSeq, a predicted model, not a curated record